Daphnia carinata is the source of this 337-nucleotide long non-coding RNA. RefSeq lists it as uncharacterized. The record is from RefSeq and is a predicted model, not a curated record. The transcript has 4 exons. Lineage: Eukaryota; Metazoa; Arthropoda; Branchiopoda; Diplostraca; Daphniidae.
CUUGUUUUUCAAAGACUGGAUAUAGUGAAGAUCAACUUGCUGAGCACAAAUUUACCGUUUUCACACAUCUUCGAAUUUAGCGGUACUUGGGGUUUUCUGCAACCAUCCAAAAUUUCAUCGGACAUCAAAGUGAAUUAGGUGCUGUUGAAGAUGGAACUGCCAUGAAGAGGAAUUAAUUAACUUGCGGUAUGCCCUUGAAAUCGAACAGCGUCUAAGGGUGUAAACUGAAAGAAGUUAUUCAAUCAUUAUUUACUCAACAAAACAAGAUAAGAUGGCGAGUGGCUUCCCGUGUGCCCUUCGACAUCGUCAGUACGCUUUCGAAUUUGACAUGUUCAGG